RNAcentral lists this long non-coding RNA (934 nucleotides) under Callithrix jacchus (white-tufted-ear marmoset). RNAcentral describes it as "lncRNA (ENSCJAG00000075912.1)". Lineage: Eukaryota; Metazoa; Chordata; Mammalia; Primates; Cebidae. The record is from RNAcentral.
AAUGAUGAAAGAAAAUUGCUGACCCAUGAAUUCUGCUUCUAUGUUUUAGGAAGAGAUACUGAACCUCAAAUUUGCUGUUUUUGCACCAAGUGCAAGCCUUAUUACCUGCAGAAAGUAGUGCCAAUAUUGUGGAGAAACAGACACAGGAUUUUAUUAUGUGAAUGACUGACCUGCAAUAAAAGAUUCAGGCACAGCCUCAUCAGGCAUCGACAGUUACAGUGAGGACAUUGACUGGACAAGAAUAAGGUCCUACAAUUUGUACUGGGGACAUGUGAGAAAACCCCAAUAAACCUGGGAACACUGAAUAUGCAAACUCUGAUAAACUAAUUUAUUUAUUUAUUGCCAGAAAAAAACAGCUUUCUACUCUUCAAAAGAGGCAACAUCCCCUAUCUGACCCAUGCUGCCAUCAGCCUUUCCAACUCUGAAGGGAUAAAUGCUUCACUGACUGAGGCAACAGUGAUGGACUCCCCUGAAGCAAUUUCUGGGUGCCUGUCUGUCUUCUGCUACACUUCAUCCUGCCAAUACUGUUUACAGAGAGAAACCUCCAGGCCAAUGCCAAGCUGCCUUUAGUCCUACCCAACUCCCCGAGCCUCCUGUCCUCACUGGUGCCAAAGAACUAGAGAAAACUGAGGUUGCGGAGGGCUGCUCUUCCAAAAUAACCACAACUGUCAGCACGCCAGGAAUCAACAUUAUCUUCUUCUUCUGUGGAAGUAUCUUUAUUUGUUUCAAAGGCAAUUUUAUUCAUUUCUAUCUAAUGCUAUAUAAGGUAAGUGGGAGAAACUCAUUAACUCGAAGCAUAUCAUUUUCAUCUACUGCAAAUAAGCUGAUCAUACAGUGCUCUUUGCACACAGCUUUGAAGUUUGGCUCUGACUUUAGGAUGUUUAGCAGUGUUUUCCCACAGUCACCCAGAGAGAACUUACAGAAGGGGUCAUAG